CAGCUCCAUGACGACGCCAUCUUCCCUUGACUUAGAGGAGACUCGUGCAUGUCUACCGCAGAAGGUCUGGCCUGCAAGUUCUCUUCUGACUACAUGAAGGUUAACAUAAUACUAUUUGCCACAUGCAUUUCUACAUCAGAGAAGAAUGCUCCGUCAUGAAGAUGCCAUGUCUGUCCAAUUCCACAACAGAAUCAGUUGUCAUUCUGCUGUCCACACCAGCUCUUUGUGAAUUAGUGGGUUGUAGUGAACGAUGACUUUUAAAGCAGGUUUCUAAGCUUAGCACUGUGAAGCUUAGGCUCUGGAACAGGUUAAUGGCUUCUGCCCAUGUGUCUGCCACAGUAUCCUUGGAUUCUGAACCCACACCAAUUGCAAUAAAGAUACUGAAAUACUUGGGUCAGUUUCUUAGUGGACUUUGCUUAUUUUUUUCCUCCAAGAAAUGGGAUUUAUAUAUACUUAUAACAUUUUAAAUAAAACAAUAGCCACUACCAAAACAAAAUUUUUAAGAUUCCGUACAAAAGGGGACAGAAAUAUUUAUGCUCAUUGGCAUUGGUAAGGCCUCUCAGGACAUUGAGAGAUAGCCAAGUACUUACCAAGUCCAAUUCCUAUAUUAUAUGCACAUGGGGACAGCCUAGACUUGCACUGCAGCUACAAGAAGAUGAAUCAGAAGAACCAUGAUGGUGGUGGGCAGUGGGUUUAGAACUCUCUAUGGCUAUAGAAAUGAAGAGAAGGAACAAGUCCAGAAAACUGGAAAGAGUCAGGGGCAGGUUUAAGGAUGAUAGCAUGCUACACCCAGCUUACCUGUGAGACAACACUUUGAUACGGUUCCUUUCUACUUUCUGUUCUGGUCGUUGGCUCACAGGCUAGAUACCAUUUUGCUUUAAAAAGAUACCCUUUAAUGGAGGCUGGUAUGUUGUAAGGAUAACUCCCAUUACUUGGUUCUUGAGGACAGUCCAAAUUAGAACACAUGACGGUCCCAUGUCUUCCAUGUCAUAUACAUGCAACCCCUUUCUCUUACUGUAAGUCUGCAUGGCUGAGGCUCAAUUAAUGCAAAUGUGAACACCCUUCCUCCUAGACAAGCAGACAGGUGGCAAGGAUGCGCCCCAGGAAUGCAUUGCCUUUGUGUGCUAGGUGAGGAGGACACUGUUGAGUGAAUUUACUUUCUGGCAGGGGCUAUAUCUAAUUCUCUCCAUAUUUUUCUGAGAUAAGAGUACUUUGAUAUGCUUCUCUUUGGGUCCUACUCGCCUCUCAGCCAUUCAGAGGUUCUCGUUCUGACCCUCUGUUGACACUGGAGCUGUUUAUUGGUAACGUGGUACUUUCCUUGCUAAUAUAUUACCCCACCACACUGGCUCUCCAGUCACACCUCCUUGGACAGCUUGGAUCAAGGCCAUGAAGAAACAAUGAGCCUUCCCUCUGGAGUAGGUUUUUUUUGUGCAAGGAGCUUGUUCUGCUGUUUCCCCAAAUCUGCCAUCAAAUGAUUAUGAAAUGUCUUCUGUUUUACUAAGGUAUUUUCUUGUAGCCCUGAGUUCGUGGCCUUUGCCCUUUCUCAUAUUUUUUCCUAGCAUUGUGCAGCUGAAGGAAGCAUAAAUGAGCACUUCUAGUUAACAUGCCACAAGGAACAGAAGUUACAUUUAUCCUUAGGAGAAUAUGUCAUUGUAUUUUCUUCAGUAUAUAAAACGUUCCACGGGGGAUGGAGGGAGGAAGGAUGGGACUUUUAUGUAUUAUCGGUGCAUCUGGAGAAUUACAGUAUGUAAUGAUUUUUUGUACUUAAGAAACCAUUGUGUCUGGCAGCGGCCUGAGUUUUACCACACUUAGCACGUCUCAGUCUAUAUUAGGAAAAGCCUGGAGUUUGAAGCUGCUGAUGUAGUCCACUUCUCUGUCUUGCUUGCCUUACUCUUUUGUAAAGGGCUAAAUGAUACAAACAUAGGUAAAUUUUUCCCUCUGAUGUUACGCGAGGUUUCAAUAUAUUUCUAUGUUUUACAGUUUAAAUCAGAUCAUUCUCAAUUUUGAAGAGAACUGGUAUUUUAAGGAGGUGAGAAGACAUUUUAAUAAGGAGAAUGGAGGUGUGCUUUAAAACUGCAGUGGAUAUAAAAAGUCUACAAGAUACUGGGCAUGCAUCAUUACUGAAUCUUUUAUGUCACAAGAUGCUGAUGGUGGAGAGGCAGGGAGAGCAGAGAGGCUGGCAGAGAGGAAAUGGAUACCGAGCGCCAGCCCGCCUUGUUGAAAGAAAGAACACAGAGUUGCAAAAUCAUGCUGUUAUUCAUUACAAGGAAAGAGUCCGGGGCAGCGUUUUGCUGAAGGUGUUAGAGAGGAAACUGUGUCAAUCAGCUGAUGGAGGUGGCAGUGUGAACUCCAUCACCACCGGCUGCACACGCACUUGUGAAUGAUAACAGCUCGCCUGAGAAGCAACGGUGGCGUGUGGCAUUGAAGUGCGUUGCAAGAACUUAGAAUUCACAGGAUCUCUGAUGCUCUUGAGACUUUAGCCAUGCUAGUUAAAGAUUAGAACCACUUCCCCAGUGCAGGGAGUCUAGAAAUCAAUAGUACCAAAGUAUAAACAGAGAGCAGAAAGUUUAUAGUUUUCAAAAGUUUAUACACUUUUCUCCUAUGCUGGGGGGGGGGGGUCUGUCUCCAGGAUGUCUUGACAUUUUCCUGAAUUACAUAUGUAAUUUAAAACUGAGACUUUGUUACGAAUAUAGUAGCAGUGAACACGGAUGAGAAAGUAUCCCUAAAAUAGGUGGUAGAGUUCUGUGGGAAUAUGCCCAAAGGUAGAGCUGGAUCAUAUGAUAGAUCAAGUUCAACAUUUUCUUGAGGAACCGCAGCCUCCAUAGGGGCUGACCAAUUCACACUGCCCCCAACAGAGAAUAAGUGCAUGACAAAUUAUAUUUAUUGGUUUCCACAUGUUGAACUACCUUGCAUAUCUUGAACCUAAACUAUGGGGGGUGGAAAACCAACUCGUAUACUAAUAACCAGCACAAAGAAAAUGACCGAAGCCUCUAAAUUUAAGUAUUUUUAUAAAUACUAAACAGAAGAGAGAAAACUCUGUCAAUCCCCACACAAACAUUCUGUCAUCUCAGACAUCUUGCUUCCCUAAAGCUUUCUUUGCUCCACAUUUCUAAUCCCCAGAUACUUACGGCCAUAGUUGUUUAUGCUACUGCCUAAAAGAACAACAACAAAAACUCGUAAAAUUAAUGUUCAACUCGAUUUAGCCAUGAAAUUCUAAUACCAUCAGAUAGAACUCAUGCUGCUCCAAAAAUAAUUUUUGUGUAAUUCUACAAAUAAAGAAACCAUUUAUAUUAAUAAAAUGCUUGUUUUCAGUAUAUUGCAUAAAAUCAAUUUACAUUCGAACACUUGGCCAUUGUAGAGUCAAAAUCUUUUAGAUAGCUUAGAAACAAAAGUCCUGUAGAGAUUAACUGUGAGACAUUUUGCUCUGUGAAGAACAAUAAGACAGAAAUCAGAAUAUUAACAAAAGAGCAAAGCUAUGUUGACAAGUUCACUUUGAUACUGCGGGUCACUUCUGCAUUAACAAUUCUCUAUCGUUGCUGCAACUGACUUUUGGCCCCCAUGGUACUGAUUUACUUAUCCAUUCACUAAAUGGAUUAGUAAAAUUAAUUAAAAUGAAAGUAGAUAGAAGCAUUAAAGUAGCAACGAUAAGGAGAUGAGAAUAUCAAUUUGCUUUUCUUCCCAGUUAAUUCCUAGACUGUAAUUACAAAAUGGGAUUGGGUGACAAUUUUUGACAUGAUUUUAUUGUUAGGAACAUGUGCAUGUGAUGAAUGAGAUAAAUUCUCCCCUAUCCCGAAGUUAAAAUUUAGAAGUAAUUUUCAAUGUUUUAAUUGUUUUUUUCCCUUUUUCCUUAGAAAACAUCCCAAAACCUAUUAUCUCUGAGGGAUGGUAUUUCAGUAACUCUCAGUAAUUCUUCUCAGAAUGUAUUUGGGUUUUAGAGAUAAGCAUCCCCUACCACACACAUAUACACCAAUAAACUAUUUAUCCCUUUAUUGGACUCUGAGAAACCUAACAAACAACUGGGACUGAUUGCAUUCUGGGAGAGGCGGCUUUGAUAAGUCUGAAGCUAGUUUCUGGGCACAAACUUUUCUGGAAUGAUGAUUUUAAAUGUCCUUUCUAUAUUAUUGCUUUAAGAGGAACAAUUUGUCAUCAAGUUAAAAAAACAUUCCCCAUCUCUUAAAUGAAACGCUAUUGACCAUCACUACUCCUUCCUUUGUGCUCCUGUCUCAGUCUCUGGACUAGGGAUCUUAGGUCUUUGGCCAGGACCAGACUUUCACAGGAUUCCACAUGACACGUGACUUCAGACUCAGCACUUGGACAUCAUGAUCCAUGUCUGUCCUGAUUUCUCCUGUGCCCUAAGUUUUACAUUCUAAUGGCUACAACAAACACUGCACCUACAGCCUCAUGUUAGCUGAGGAUCCCCUCAAAUUGAACUACUACUACAAGGUGACUCACACUUUCUUAGUACAGGUUCCCCAAUCUCAUUGAUCUUAGAAUACUUUCAGGCCUGGCACUUACUGUAUACACGAAUGCUCGUUCUUAAAUGUGGAGCCCAAAGAAGGCAUGGGAUUGCAUUGCCUCAUUACCCUGGCUUUCACCCUCACAUCCACAAAAGGGAGCCACAGAAUUGUAUCCUUAGAAUAAUUAAUCACACUGAGCUUUCUAGUAACUCUUUAGCCUCGUCACGUGAGAGAUAAAAAUCUGUAGCCUUCUGAAACCGUGAACACAACUUGAGUAGCUCUGACAGCCUACUUAUUAAUUGCUGCCAGACUCUAAUUGUCAUUCCAUUAACAGUGCCCAUCUGUGGAAGAGUGGAUCAAAUGGCCUCUGCCUUUGCUCUAAUAUAAAUUUAUUUCUUUAGGUUUCAUCGCUGAUCUCCAACAUUCUGAUUAUUUUCAGGCAAUUUCAUCUACAAUCCCAAAUACACUGUAAAAACUGGAACUAAUUGUUCCCCUAAUUGAUUGACUGUCUUACCUCCUGUUGUGUGUAUAGCGGGUAUCAUCUGGCAGUAUGUAACAACAGGAGGGAGGCUAUCAAUCAAUCAUAGAACAAUUAGUUCUCAUCUAAGGUUUUGCCCUCUUUGCCUCCUCGAAGCUUAAAUGUAAACAUUUCUCCUUAGCAGUGGUUGCUAAUGGAAAGACACAUAGGCUAGCAUGUUUGUUUUCUCUCCCACAUGUAAUUUAUAUUAAAUUCUAUAUUAGUGUUCAUUAAAUGAGAGUGAUAUACUCAAGCAUUAGAGGCCCAGAAAGCCUUGCUGUCUUAGCAGUUAGCUGUUAUUUUCUCAGGUAAGCCUCAGUGUGACCUGAGAGGGGAUGCUUCCUUACAAUUCUAUUUUCUUCAUCUAACAAGUCACAGAUUGAAGAUGUACUAAGAAUGAGCUGACUGAGAGAUCAAGUGAACAGAAUUCAUAGUCUUCAAACACACACCACGGCAAGCGGUUUUUACGUUACUUACACUGUCGGAGGCAAUGUUCUAGAGCUACGUCGAUAAAGGAAGACCCUAAGUUUUAACUUUUUUUUAAAAAAAAUUGUUUUGUCAAACAAAAAAAGAGGAAAUUAUUUUGCAUUGAGUAUUUCGUAUAUUAUUCGCCAUUGCUAUGACAAAACACCAGACAAAAGUAACUUAAGGAAAGGAAGGUUUACUUGGGGUUGUGAAUUGAGAGGAAAGUCACAAUUGGGAAGGCGUGGCUUUGGGAACAUGUGGGAGGGGCAGAGGGAAGAUUGAGGAGGAAGAGUGAGAGAGAGGAGGAAGGGAAAAGAGGUGGGGAGAAGGGAGGAGGAAGGUAGAGGAGGAGGAGAGGGGAGAAGGAGGCAGAGGAGGGAGGGGAAUGGUGCUGACACUCAAUAAGCAUUUUCACUUUUCCUUUAAAUUCUGAGACCAACCUCAGACCCUGGAAUGGUGGCAUCAACUGUUGGGAGCUAUGCCCUUAAAACCCUCCAUCAUUGAUGUUAAUAUUAGAGUUAAGAUAAAAUGGAAAAAUGCCUAAUGAUAUGACAAACUUGUGAUCUUUCUGAGAAACCAAUAUCCUGUUGACAUCAGCCAAUUUCCUGACCACAAGAGCACUGUGUCCUUGGCUUGAGUAAAUGUUUCCCGCUUCGCCCCUCCCUCUGCUACCCCUGCUAUGGUAUAAAUUCAGCCUUGGGAAAAAAUAAAAUUUGUAACCUCAAUCAGACUCUUGUCUUGUUGUCCUUCUUCGAGUCUCUUGUCCCCCAUUCUUUCCUAGGUGGUCCCCAACCUCCGCUGACUGCCCUGCGUGGAGGAGCAAUCAACAUUUUGUGUUGGUGGGCUUUCCCUUUUCAGCUAAAUAUUUGCGGGACAACCUGGUAGAUAUGCCCAGAGGUGUCUCCCGAGUGACUGACAAGAUUAAGAUUCACCCUCAAAAGACAGUAACUUGGUUUUUGUAUUUCCAUCUUUGGUUUCUCACAAGUUAGCCUGUAAAUGCAGGUGGAUUAUGGGACAGCAAGGGGAAAAGGCCUUUUAAUACACUAGACUCACCUCAUCAAGGUUGGCUCUAUCUAGCUUCAGUAUAUGUGUAUGUGUAUGUGUGCAUAUGUGUGCAAAUGUGUAUGUGUAUAUUUUUCAAAGCACAAGGAUUACUAGCUCUCUUCUUAUUUUCUUAUGUACAAAACAGUCUUUAUGUUCCUGAAAUUCUGCAAUGUUUUACUCCAACAGGCUAGUUUAUUUGUAGUUCUCUCUCUCUCUCUCCUCUCUCUCUCUCUCUCUUCUCUCCUAGGUUAUGUGUGUAUUCUCUCUCUCUCUCUCUCUCUCUCUCUCUCUCUCUUCUCUCCUAGGUUAUGUGUAUAUUCUCUCUCUCUCUCUCUCCUAGGUUAUGUGUAUUCUCUCUCUCUUUCUCUCUCUCUCUCUUCUCUCCUAGGUUAUGUGUAUACUCUCUCUCUCUCUCUCUCUCUCUCUCUCUUCUCUCCUAGGUUAUAUGUAUAUUCUCUCUCUCUCUCUCUCUUCUCUCCUAGGUAAUGUGUAUACUCUCUCUCUCUUUCUCUCUCUCUCUCUUCUCUCCUAGGUUAUGUGUAUAUUCUCUCUCUCUCUUCCUCUCUCUCUCUCUUCUCUCCUAGGUUAUGUGUAUAUUCUCUCUCUCUCUCUCUCUCUCUCUCUCUCUCUCCUAGGUUAUGUGUAUACUCUCUCUCUCUCCUCUCUCUCUCUCUCUCUUCUCUCCUAGGUUAUGUGUAUACUCUCUCUCUCUCCUAGGUUAUGUGUAUACUCUCUCUCUCUCUCUCUCUCUCUCUCUCUCUCUCUCUCUCUCCCCCUAGGUUAUGUGUAUACUCUCUCUCUCUCUUUCUCUCUCUCUCUUCUCUCCUAGGUUAUGUGUAUAUUCUCUCUCUCUCUCUUCCUCUCUCUCUCUCUUCUCUCCUAGGUUAUGUGUAUAUUCUCUCUCUCUCUCUCUCCUAGGUUAUGUGUAUACUCUCUCUCUCCUCUCUCUCUCUCUCUCUCUCUCUCUCUCUCUCUCUCUCUUCUCUCCUAGGUUAUGUGUAUACUCUCUCUCUCUCCUAGGUUAUGUGUAUACUCUCUCUCUCUCUCUCUCUCUCUCUCUCUCUCUCCUAGGUUAUGUGUAUACUCUCUCUCUCUCUCUUUUCUCUCCUAGGUUAUGUGUGUAUUCUCUCUCUCUCUCUCUCUUCUCUCCUAGGUUAUGUGUGUAUACUCUCUCUCUCUCUCUCUCUCUCUCUCUCUCUCCUAGGUUAUGUGUAUUCUCUCUCUCACUAAUUCUAUCUUUCACUUUUAUGUUUAAUACUCAGCAAAAACCUGCUUCUUUUCAUGUGUCAUUAGACCCAACAUAAUAUAACUACAUAAAGAACUUAAAUAUAGACGUUUAAAAAAUUGAUUAAAUGAAAAAAUGAGUUAAAUCUUGGGCUUCUGAAAGGUGAUCAACAAUUAUAAGGAAGCUUUUGAGUGAAGAAUGGAAUGAUGGAUAUGGAAAACUGUCUUUCAAAGGUCUUGACAUUGCUGCUAAUGCAGGUAGGUAAGCUGCCACUAAGCUCAUGAAAGCAUCUGUAUCUACUAUAAUGAGAAUAUAAUAUAAGACCUUAUAAGUACAGAACAGACUCCAUUGUGUAGCCUGACAUGCCCUCCCUCACCAUUACAAGCGGUAGCAGUUAAGUAUGCAAAAUAGGCUUAGUUAACAAGAGGGAUUUUCUCAUUUACUUGUAUUUUAAUCAGGGCUCACAGGUUAACAGAAUUUAUGUAUUAAAGUCUAUCCAAGUAGCUUACUGAAAUGCCAAUUCUAUAUCUAUCUGACUGGCAUUAAAUCCACAAAGGCAAGAGUCUAUUGACAACUUGACCUCAGCAUUUAAAGUGUUCACACCAACCGAGAAUUGGUUUGGGCAGCUUUAGGCAUCAAACCCACUCAAUAGGGUAGACGUGUUAUGUCCACUACUACAUGAAUAUAGGUUAACAGCUGGAAUUAGACAAACGAUAUGCAGGCAUAUAAAUGCCUUUUGUAAGUGACACACCCUUCGCUUUCAAUAAUUGACUUUUUAAAAGUAGGCAUUAGUGUGUGUCGGUAAACCCAUGUGUAUACUCGCAUGGGAUCUCAAAGUGGAGUCCCAGGGCCAUCUGUGUGCACAGCACUGGUAAUUUGCCAGAAAUAAACUUACUCAAGCCUCCCCCUCGAUGUCAUGGGAGCAGAGGUGUGACUGGCCUUCAGAAAAACCUGCAAGUGGAUCCAGAGUGAUUACGGGGCAAGUUGAAGGGAGAAACUGGGGCGCAGAUAGGAUCAUAUUUCAUUUUUCAUGUGUAUGAAAUUAUAAAAGAAUUAAAAAACACACAAGAAUAAAAAAGAAGGCCUUCAGGUUAUUCCUGAUUGCCUCUUCAAUAGUUGUCUAAUUCCACAGAGGGGACACUAUGUAUCACAAAAGGUAAACAGGAACAAUUGCAGUUUUCAUUUCAUCUAACCAAAAGCUGUUAUUUUGUGUUUAUUUCAAAUUAAGAGUUUUUUGAAUUAAAUAUUUCUUAUGUUAUUACUGAGAAACAGAAAAAAGAACCCUAAAUUUAAAGGGAAUCUCGUCCACACGGUAUAGACUAUGUCAGGGCUGGGGAGAUGGCUCAGUGGUUAAGAGUGCUUGCUGCUUUUGUAGAGUACCAGAGUUCAGUUCCCAGAAUCCAUGUCAUGGCCUGAAACUCCAGCUCCAAGGGAUCCACCACCUUUUUCUGGCCUCCAUGGGCACCUGUGUAAAAGUGCUUACCCUUGCACAAAUACACAUACAGGAAAUAAAUAAAAUAUUUAAAAGUAUAAAGGGUACACUAUCAUUAUUUAUUGUGCAUCUUCAUUCUGUAUAGAAUACAACCUCUCUAAGUAAAUCUUGAAACCUGUCUGGUUCUUAGUGAGGACUGCAAGUCAUGAUGAGCAGGACACUGAAAUGAAUUCUUUCUGUGAAAUAACCUUGUAUUUCUCUCCCAUUAAAUAAUUUAACAUCCCGAGCAAAGCCCACAUCUCUCCAGACCUGCCUUGCAAAAACUUCGUUCCAGCUGUGCCCAUCGCUUUGAUGCGUCUGCAUCCAUGUUAACUGCCUCUUUCUCUGGGCCAACUCAGGAAGAAUUCAGUUGUUUUUCUUACUAAUCUCUUAUCGCCUGCUGACAGGAAUUUAUCAUCUACACGUAUUUUGUGAAGAAUAGACAGGACUGUAUAGCUCAUUCCUUGAGAACCAGGCACACAAAGAUUAGUUAAACAUUGUUACUGUUAAUGGGAUAAUUAAUACCACAGACAUAGUUUUCUGUCAUCAAGACAGUUCAUAGUUUGGUGAAGGAGUAGUAUAUUUUAUGUAUAUAUAUUAUAUGGCAUAAAUGUAUAUGUACUGUUAUGUAUGUGUAUACUAUGUACUAUAUAUGACAAUAUAUACUAUAUAUGUAUGUGGUAUAUAUGUAUUGUAUAUACUCUAUCUGUAUAUAUGUGUAUAUACUAUAUAUAGUAUAUAUGUGUACUGUCAUAUAUAGUAUACAGGACAAUGUAUAUUUUCAUUAUUAUAUUUUGGUAAGGGAAUAAUAUAUAUUAAAUAUAAUAGUAUAUAGUAAAUACAUUAUACCAUAUGUUAUAUGAUAUAACAUAUAUAGUAUAUAUGACAAAUAUAUAUCUUCAUUAUUGGAUUUUGGUAAGGAAAUAGUAAAUAUGAUACAUAUAUAUAUAUUAUAUGGUAUCAAUAGCAUAUAGUAUGACAAGAGACCCUAUGGCUAAUUUAAAUUGAACAAUAAUAACAGCUGAAGAGUAAUCAAACACUAGGAGACUUGAGAAUAAAGCCAAGUGUUUAUAUGGAUGUAUUGAGUGCAAAUUUCUAGCCAGUAAUGUGUGUUACACAAGUACUUGGACUCUACAACCUUAAUCCUUUGUACGUAAUUUUGAUAGGAGAGAACGUCAGCAGUCAUAACUUACGGUUUGGGAACUCUUUGGGUUUAUGAAUUUUAGAAAUACAUAAGCUACAAAGUUCAUGAUGGAUGUGGAAAAGAACCACUAUAAAGCAUAGACCGAUUGUAAAAUGUUUCCAGAAGGGUGGCCAGGCUGGUUUUUAUUUCCAGCGAGUGCUGCAUGUGCAGCAGAUACUAAAAUUGAGAUAAGCAGGGCCACAGUGAAAGCCUAAGUGAGAAAAUCACCCUGCGGAUGCUUUCUAUGCCACACACCCAGCUCUAUUUUACUUACACGAUUUUAGACUCAUGUGAGGUCGUUUUCUCAAGAGAAAUGAAAGAAUAAUUCUAUCUACUAUGCUAUGGAAAAGAUUAAAUGAGGCUCAAAAAGGAAAAAAAAACUUUAUAUUUACCAUAUAACAAGCACUUGAUAAAUAACAGCCAUUACAUUAAUGUUGAGAAAUCGUACUGUUUAUAUUUUUUUAACUAUGCUACUGUUAAAUGUGUCUGUGAUGGUUUCAAUUGUGACUCUCAGGGUCAAACAAUAUCUAAACUCCCAUCAAAAGCCAGCUAAAUGCUUACUUUAAUUUAUAUCACGUCUGUAGUAAGCAAUGCAAUAACUUCCACUCCAUGGAUGAUAGAUCUGAAGGGUGCACAUACUAAGUAGCUUCUAUAAUUAAUACUGUAAACCAAGACAAAGGAGCCAUCAAGUUUCAAACUUAUAAAAUAAUUAUUUCCCUUUCUUUUAACUUUUUUCAUUGAAUUUUUAAUUGAAUUUUCUACAUUUCUAUGUGGGUAUUUUUAUAUAAAUAUAUAUUACAUAAUGAUCAGAUUUCCCCAGACUUCAUCUCUUUUCUAUAUAAAAUCUAGGAAUCUCAAAUAAGAGAGAGUCUAGAUAUUUGUCAUUCGAACACUACCUUACUUUGCUUAAUAUGUCUCCAUUUGUCUCCAAUUGCAUCUCUUUCCUGUGGUGGACAUAACUUCUUUAUGAAUGAACCCCCCUUUCAUACACGAUAUCAAUGUUCCUUAUUUAUUCUUCGUUGCUGGACAUCUCGGUUCUAAGGUUCCAUGACCUAGCUUUUGUCCACAGUGCUGUGAUUAGCACUGAUGGUCACACACCUCUGUAAUAUGUCCAUCUGCUUCCUGUUGGACAAAUAUUCAGGAAAUGGCGUAACUCCUAUAGAAGAUUCUUUUUUUUUUAAAUAUACUUGAGAAACCUCCAUACUGAUUUCCAAGUGGUUGGACUGGUUACCUUCCUCCCUUUGUCUCGUGUGAAUGCACUUUUCCUUUUUUUCCAUUUACCUAAUGGCUAGCAAGGUAGAAAACUUUUUCAUAUGCUUAUUGUCCACAUGAACUUCAUCUUCUGCACCUUGUUCACAUCAUUAGCCCAUUAUUUCUCCACUCAAUGAUUUGAUUUCCUGUUUAGUUUGGAUUUUUUUUUUAGUUCUUUGUAUGUUCUAGAUAUUAAUCCUAGGUCAGAAAUCAUCACAGAACCCCCUAAAGCUCCUAGUGUUGAAGAAAGAAAAUAAUCAGAAAGGUACGAUUGCUCCCCACAUCAGAAAGCUCAAGUGUAGGACCAUUCUCUACUUCCUUACCCUCUAGUCCAUUGGAUGUACUAAAAAUUACGUGUCAGACGUCAGUGUGCUAUGGGUAAACUCAACCUGAGACAGAAUCACCUUUGGACGAUUUUUUUUUUUUAUGAAUUAGUGACUUAUCACAUCUGUAGCUUUCCUAAGACAAACCAUGCAGGUGGCACAUCUCUCCCUGCAUCUUCAGAGACUUGAAGCACUUUUGGUCAUAUCCCUUAGACAUCUGUUCCACAUUUGUUGGAUUUAUCUGAAGAUCUACAUCUACCCAUUAGAGAUUCAUUGGGGUUGAUUGUUUCUCUUCAGUUUUGUGUCUGUGUGUGUGUGUGUGUGUGUGUGUGUGUGUGUGUGUUUGUGUGAAAAAAAAACUCAACACAUUUUUCUUAUAUAAUGAUUCCAUAAGCAAAUACCUCUAAGAACCUUCCCUCAAACUAGGAAGACAGGACAAAGAGUGUCAGCUUGAGAGUCACAUUGUGUGUAUAAUAGUGGACCUCAAAGGCUAGGUGGUACAAAGAAAAAUGAAGGCUGUAUCUUCUGCUUUUACAAACCCUUGCUAAAGAAUAGUCAGAAACACGUGCUUCCCCUCUUCAUUGGGAUGAAACAUGGAUGGAUAAAGAAAGUUAACAGAAGUGAAAACUAUCUUAGUCCUGAGAAAAAGGUUCAAAAUCCAAAUUACACCCUCUUUUGUGCCUUAAGAAAUCAAUUUGCCAUGACCACUUUCACACAGGAUGGAAUUACUUUUAAAUCUGAGAUCUGACUUCUGGAAUCCAAUCAAAACUCUUGCACUAAGAUGUUCCAGAUACAUUUUUUAUAAGUUCCAAAUCCAUUUUUCAUAAGGUCUAAAAAUGGGAAAAAAUCUGUCAUUUGUAGAAUGUCUCCAUUUUAGAAAUAUAUUCUGGUAUGUUGGGUUUUCACUCUAUUACCUGCUCUACAGUCUUUCAAAAACUUGUGGAUCAGUAAGAAAUGGGAACAAACAAUUCUUUAAAAGCAGCACAUGAAGUAUGAAAGUUUAUUCAUAUCAAAUAAAUCAUAAUUAAAGGAAGUACAUCACACUGUUUGUGUGCAUGCUUUGACACGCAUCUCCUUUCCAACUGUGGUGAUAUUAACUAAAUGUAGGAAUAACAAAAUAGAACACCUUUUAAAAUAAUACAAAGGAGAAGCAUCGGACACAUGGGAGAGGUACAAAGAGAAGUUGGUGUUUCAUAAUAGCCAGACAGUUGACUGUGGUAAGUUGUUUUAGAAAACUCAAAAUUAGUCUAUGGAAGAAAAUACUUAUAGGAUAUUCAUUCACAAGGAUUAAUACCAUGAACAUGGUAAGAACUCAGUAGAAAGUGUCAAGUAAGUCAGCUAAAGUGUACAAAUCAUCUGAAGAGACAUUUCGUAGAACUCCAAGAAACAAAUGAAUAGAAAUUAUAGAAAAAAAUAUACAUCAAGAUAGAUACCUGUCAAGAAAAUGUAUAUCCAAACCACAAUGAGAUAUUGUAUCUCAGGGUGGGUGUUAUCAAAAAGGCAACAAGUAGGAGAUGGGCAGCUGGGUCUUUCAGCUAAGCUUUAUAAUCAAGAGGACUUGAGUUUGUAUUCCUAACAACCAUGUAAGAAUCUAGGUGAGAUGGCACACAUCUUCAGCCCCAACGCUGUGGAAGGGAGGAAGAGCUGCAGACCCAUGGAUCUCACUGGCCAUUCAGCAUAGACAAGUCUGUAAGUUCUAGGUUCAGUGAGAGACCGUGCCUCAAAACGUAAGGGAGAGAACAAGUAAGAAAGCCACUUGACAUAUGCACAUGUACCAUACAGCCACAUAUCAACAAUGCUAUGGUCGCUGCAGCCACCGUUCACACACAUGUAUAUAAAGCCAAAAUGUAAGUGUUGACAAGCAUGUGUGUAACAGGAAAGUCUAGAAUACUGCCUGUGGUACAAUAAGUUAGUACAGCCAUUGAAAAGCAGGAGUGAGGCUCCUGAAGAGACUAGAAAUCUCUCUACUGUGUAUUUUCAAACCUGCAAUUAAAUGGGAUGAACAACCACACUUAACAUACCAUAUUAUCAAGCAUUCCAAAUUUGCAUUCUUAUCACUAUAGCUUGGUACCUAUUACCCAUCCUCUUUCCAUCCUUUCAACCUUCGUACUUUCUUGAAAUCAAUAUCCUUUUCUCUCCUUCUGUAUGACUAAAUUAUUUUAACUUUAUGUGAGAACACACAGUGUUCACUUUUCUUUGUCUUCCACCUAACAUCAUCUCCCCACAACCUUUCUCAGCCAUGUUGAUAUAAAUAAUAGGAUUUUAUUCACUUCAUGGCUGAGAAAGAUUACAUCAUGUGUAUGUGUUCAUUUUCUUUUUUUUUUUUUCUCAUUUAUCAGUGGACACCCAUGUUGGUUCCGUGUCUUGGCUGCUGUUAAGCAAGUUGCAGAAAACAUGGCUGUAUAGAUGUCUUUAAAAUACUGACUUCCUUUCCUUUGGAUGUAUACCAAACAGUUGGAUUUCAGGAUGAGGGGAGACUGAUUCUCCAGUGUUCCCAAAGCUGCAGCUCACGACCUCCCUGUCUUCUCACUGUUAUGCUCAAUGACUUUUAAAAAAAGCUAUUUUGGGUGUAGUUCCUGGGCUCUGUCCAAUGUAUUUAUUUGAAUUUAUCACAGAAAUAUUGCCACUUGAAUGCACUUACAUAGUUAUAUAAAACCAGCCAGAUGGCAGCUCCUUGAGGUUUGAGAUACCUUGUGCUGUGAGGGGGUGAGGAAAAAAAAACAAUAAAAAUCUAAAAGCAAUUAUAAACAAAAUAAUGUUUAGAAGAGGGAAAUAUUUUUUGUAUCUAAUUAGCAAAACACUCUGAAGGGAUUUAUACUGAACACAAAUGUUAAGUAAAGGUUUGGAGAGAUCACGUUAGAUGAUCUUUUAAAGAAGAAAACUAAUAAUAUUUACAUUCAUUGUCUCCAGGAAUCAGUGUAAACUCAGAACUAAUAGGCCUAUUGUAUCUUUUCAUAUGAUCAUUUAUGUCUUUUGCAUAGGCUGAGAAAAUGUGAGGUUGACAUUUACUAAUUAUUCAUUUGUAAGGCAAGAGCAUCUCAGUCCUUAGUUGUCUACUGCUUAGAAUAUAAUAAGUUGUAGCUCCAAGAGAAAUCUGGUUGGAAGUACUUGCAGGUGAAACCAGGAGCUAAGGGUUCCAGUCCAACCUGACCACUUAUUGGAUAUUUAAUCCAUGAGGAAUCAUGCAGUCUUUUAGAGACAUUCACAGUUACUGUGAUAGACAAUACAAAAUUAUUUCCCUUUCUCAAAGGAAAAGUUUUGAAAAAGUUUACUUUCUUUCUAGACUCAGGAAAGAUAAUGAAUUUAUACCAAUUCCAAUCUUUCCAAUCUUUCCUAAAGAAAGUCCCAAACAAUGAAGGAGUAGAAGUCAGGCUUCUCACACUCUUGAUGAACAGUGAGAAAAGAAUGCAGAGUCAUAGUUCAUGUGCAGAAGGCAUAAUUAAAAUGCAAACUGAAGGUAUUUCAUGUGGGAUGUGAAAAUAACAAGAGGAAUUUUAAUGUCUAUAAUUGACUCACUGAAUUUUAAGCUAAAAAUUGUACUUAGAAGAGAAGAAAAUUCAGGAGAUAUUACAAAAUUUAUUGCAAGAAAAACUCGAGGGAAUAGUUAGAAAAUAUGAGUACAAGGAGAUUCCUGCCCAGAAAGAAAACUCUAUGUUUUCAGGGGAAAUUGCAGAGCUUGGCUGAGUUUGGUGAGUAAAGGAAGAAGAUAUAAUUACAACACCACUACCAUAGCAAAUCAUACUCCAAGGACAAAAUGCUGUAAGACAGAACACAGCAAUGCCUCAUGUGCAAAGGAUUGCAUUUAUACUCAGGUUGGCCCAAAUAUAAAGACUGUAGGAAGCAGGUACAUCCCUCAUAUUUAAAAAACUUUUUUUUAAAUGCACAUUACUGAAAACCCAGGACCUACCUAAACACGUAGUUCACUUUUAUUUAACAAGCUUGAUUGCUAAAAUAAUAAAUGAUUUGCUGAGAGUCAGCAUGCAGUCAUGAACUUUUUAAAAUUUUCAUUCAUUGCUAUGGAUUCAGCUCUGUGUGUAUGUACACAUGAGUGCAGGUGCCUGUGCAGACCAGUAGAGGGCAGUAUAUCCCCUAGACCUGAAGGUACAGGGGUUAUAAGCUGCCUGACAGAGGUGCUGAGAACCAAACUUGGAUUCUCUAUCAGAAAAUACACACCCUUAACUGCUGAGCCAUCCCUCCUAACCCCAAACAUGAACUUUUUAAGAUCAGGUUUAUAAAGUGUUGUUUGACCACUUUAGCUUAUGUUAUGUUUAAACCGUGGGUACUAUGAUUUUCUAUGAUUUAUUAAAUCACAUAUCUACAUACACAUACAUAGGUAAACAUGCAUUAGUAUGUACAUGUGGAGUCCAGAGUUCAGCUUUGAUGCUCUUUCACAGGAGCUGUCCACUUUACUUUUUAGGGAAAGAAUUUUUUCUAGAACUUGGGGUUUAGGCCAGGCUUGCUCUGUGAGAUCCACACAUCCUCCACCUCCUCAGGGCUGGUAUUACAAGUGUGCAUCCUCCUUCUUGGCUUAUGUGGCACUAGAAUUUGGACUCGGGUUCACAUGUUUCCAUGACAAGCACCUUCAUAAUUGGGAUAUUUCCUCAGCCUCAGUUGAUUAAACAUUGUAAUGAGAUAUUGGUUCUCUAGACUUUGAAUUUUACCACUAGCAAAGAUGUCAGCUGAUCAGAGAGCCAGAUCAUCUCUUCCUCGGUGCAAAGCUAUAUCUAACGUGGAAUGUGGCCAUUUGUUAUCUGGCUACUCUAGGAAAUUUCACUCCAAAUGGGAAUCAGGAAGGUAGGAUGAUUAUUCUGUCAAAUAUGACAUUAGGAUCACUCCCAUAUACAUUAAAACUUGUGGAGAUUUGACCAUAAAUGACAGGAUUUC
This is a non-coding RNA of Rattus norvegicus (Norway rat), 16820 nucleotides long. Lineage: Eukaryota; Metazoa; Chordata; Mammalia; Rodentia; Muridae. The record is from RefSeq and is a predicted model, not a curated record.